RNAcentral lists this small nucleolar RNA (119 nucleotides) under Echinops telfairi (small Madagascar hedgehog). RNAcentral describes it as "Small nucleolar RNA SNORA61 (ENSETEG00000025364.1)". The record is from RNAcentral. Lineage: Eukaryota; Metazoa; Chordata; Mammalia; Afrosoricida; Tenrecidae.
ACGCUCCAGAUUGCUUCCUCAUCAGAUCUCAACCCUUGGUGGGUGGUUAUAAAAGGGGCAAAAGUAAAAUUGAAACCGGUUUCAGCUCUUGUGUGACACAGAGCUGGUCUGCAAUAAAA